RNAcentral lists this ribosomal RNA (160 nucleotides) under Eudorina elegans. Its description in RNAcentral is "5.8S ribosomal RNA". It matches the Rfam family "5.8S ribosomal RNA". From Rfam's summary of the family: 5.8S ribosomal RNA (5.8S rRNA) is a component of the large subunit of the eukaryotic ribosome. It is transcribed by RNA polymerase I as part of the 45S precursor that also contains 18S and 28S rRNA. Functionally, it is thought that 5.8S rRNA may be involved in ribosome translocation. Lineage: Eukaryota; Viridiplantae; Chlorophyta; Chlorophyceae; Chlamydomonadales; Volvocaceae. The record is from RNAcentral.
CAACUCUCAACAACGGAUAUCUUGGCUCUCAGAUCGAUGAAGAACGCAGCGAAAUGCGAUACGUAGUGUGAAUUGGCAGAAAUACGUGAAUCAUCGAAUCUUUGAACGCAAAUUGCUCUCGAGGCUUCGGCCAAGAGCAUGUCUGCCUCAGCGUCGGGUU